CACUUCCGUCUGUUGGAGCCGUACACCCUCCGCUGCUUUUGUUCUCCCAUUUCCAACCAGUCCGCGCUGCCGACAAGAAGGCUGGCCAGUCGGUCCAGUGAACCAAUACGAGGCAAAGCGCGGAGCCGUCCGACGAUAAGCCACAUGCGAAGCCUUUCUGCUCUUGGGAUACUCGGCACUCCACAGUAACAUAAACGGACUACUUUUUUUGUCUUCUUAUUGGAGUUUUCAACGCUUUUUCGGGUUUUUCUUCCUUCUGCCAUUCAACGCCGACUGCACCCGCGAACUCAACAAGAUGGAGAACGACGAUAAAUAUCUCCCCGAACUGCUGGCGGAGAAGGACAGCCUGGACUCGUCGUUUACGCACGCCAUGAAACUUUUAAACGCAGAAAUCGAUAGAGUGCAGAAAGGAGAGACCAAGAAGGAGUCGGAGACCUACCUGGACCUUUUCACAACAAAGAACAUCAAACUCAAGGAACGGGUGCUCAUACCUGUCAAACAAUACCCAAAGUUCAAUUUCGUGGGCAAGAUUCUGGGACCUCAGGGCAACACGAUCAAGCGUCUGCAGGAGGAGACCGGAGCCAAGAUCUCCGUGCUGGGCAAAGGAUCCAUGAGAGACAAAGCCAAGGAGGAGGAACUGAGGAAAGGCGGCGAGCCCAAGUACGCCCACCUCUCCAUGGAGCUGCACGUGUUCAUUGAAGUGUUCGCCCCGGUGCCGGACGCUUACCUGCGCAUGGCGCACGCCAUGGAGGAGGUCAAGAAGUUCCUGUUCCCCGAUAUGAUGGAUGAUAUCUGCCAGGAGCAGUUCAUGGAGAUGAGCUACCUGAACGGAGGCCAGGAGCACGGCGCCAGAGGCCGAGGGGGCAUGCCCAUUAGGGGCCGGGGGGUCCCCCCUGCUGGAGCACACAGGGGGAGGGGGAUGCCUCCUCACGGUGCCGCGGCCAGAGGAGGUGUGACUCGAGGAGGCCCAGCCAGAGGUGGGGCAGUGAGGGGGGCCCCCCCGGGCAGAGGAGGACCUCCUGCUGCACCAGCCAGAGGGGCUGCGGCUUCACGCGCCAGACCCCCAGCUGGCGGACCACCUCAGAGGAUGGCCCCGCCCCCUGCUCACCAGCACACGGCCGGCGCGGCUGCAGAGAACUACGACGAAUAUGGUUACGACGAGAGCUACACAGACACGGCCUACGAGUCUUACGACAGCUACUACAGUCAGCCGCAGGCAGAACCAGAAUAUUAUGACUAUGGACACGGAGAGACAACUGAGUCAUACGAGUCAUAUGCCCAGGAUGACUGGAACGGUACUCAGCGGACGACUCCAGGGAAAGCCCUUCCCCCCUCCAGAGGUGGCAGCACGGCUUACCGGGAGCACCCAUACCGACAGUACUGAAGCGGACCCUCCACCCUUAGUGUUGCCCCGAUAACCGCCUGUCUACCACGGCAGCUCUCGCUUUAAGAAGCCUGAAAAAAGCACGGCUACCGGUCACCGAGCAUCCUGAGAGGGAGAGAGGGAGUCCGCCGGAGGCCGAAGCGCCGCAGAGAAACGGGAGCAGCUCGCCGUGAAGAAGGUGGUCAGUUGCAGCUCUCAGGGGCAUCCCUAUGGGGAGGGAAAAAGUGCUGUGUGCCUUCCUGGAAGGUUGGGGGUGGGGGUGGGUUUUUGAACGUGGGGGAGGGAGGCCACGCCACGCAAAGAUGGCAGCUGAUGGGGGGCCAAACGGGACCUAAGCUGCUCACAGGACGAGAAGACGUCUCACCUUAUGUCAACUGUUUAAUGGUAUUUAUACAGGACUCUUGUGUGGUGUAUUAUCGUGCGUCAGUGUGUUGUAAUUUAACUUGUGAAGCUUUGGAUGUACACGUUUCCUCUGCAGCCCCCCCCCCCCCCCCUCGACUAGCAGCUGGAGAGCUAGCUGCCUAAUUUAGCAGAAAAUGAGCACUCCUUUUAUAGAACGCUGUGAAAUCGUCUUUAAUUCCCAUUAACCCACGAAUCCGACCUAAAACGAUUCCUUUUGACUUUGACGGCGUUCAGAGAGUUAGGGUGCUACACGUCUCAAAUCCAAGUACGCUUUAAGGGAUGUGCUUUUGAAAUUCACGCCUCGUCGUCGCAGGGAAUUGUGCUCGGUGGGUCAAGAGAUCCGCGCGGAUCCGUCGACGGCAGCGCCUGCAGACGUUGCACGGCUCGCUCCAGCCUCGACGACGUCCGGCUCUAACGCACGUGCCCCGCCUGCCCGCCAAUGCAAAACACUUUCAUAGCCGACGCUGUCCUGUCCUCAGCAGUUUCACAUCCAAGGAUUAGAAUUCAGCGCGAUGGAGCCAAGCGGAGCAGCCCGAGAGAAGAGGACAGAGGGUGAAGGCAGACAUUACUAGCAUCCCGCCAAUUCAUUCAUCCAUCCAUCCAGCCAUCUAUCAUGCUUCUGUUGAUUCGAUCCCCCCCACCCCCCUCUGCCAUUUUCAGCCAUUAUCACUGAUGAUAUUACUGCAGCCUGUGGUGCCGAGUUACAUCUAGAGGUCAAAAUUCUACUUUCCUGUAUUAAAAACAAAUUUCCUGGUGCCGAUCCACUGGUCAGAGGCAGCAUUAGCUCCAUUUGGCUUAUUGGAAAAUCCUGCCGCUUAUAGGCUAGAACAUUAGAUAUCAGGACUGAAGCCAUCACCGGGGAUGAAAUGUCAACGGGCCAUAUCCAAAACAGACCAUUUUUCAGUCUUUAUUUGCUAUUAUGUCUGAAGUAAUGAUUCCUGCGUCUCCCAUAAUCUAAUGCUAGAUAAGUGAUGGUGUGGAAGCAGUCUCGUUGCGAAUCGAUGAAGUGUCAGGAAGCAUAAGGGUGGAGAGGAAAGUAAACGCUACUGUGCCGUGAUCAAUAAAGGUAGACUUGAAUGCGAGCGAGCCGCGAAUCCGUCAUCCUUGAUGUUUCCUCUCCCCGCUAGCCGUCGGAUCGCCCCUUCCGCUUCUGCCCACGUCUGCCCCGGCCGCCGCCGCGCGUUCUCCGUAAUGCUGGCCGGCGCGAGCGAUCGGGAGCCAGGCUGUCUCGCCUCGUGGACGGGGGAUGUGUUAAAAAUGCUGCUGGUGGAGGUGGGGGAGGCGGCGGACAGCUGGAUUGCUUCCCCUGGCCUUGACGGAUUCACACCAUCAGAAGAACAUCGCACGCUGAUGCCCGUUAGAGAGGGUGACUCUGAAGCAGCUCUUCCAGCUGCUAUCUGGGACUUAAUGUAUGCUCGCCUCAUACCCGCCGUCCUUGCUGCUCCAGGGGAAUAUCAGGACAAGCUCUGAAGAUUUAUUUUUAUAUGGCCUCUAUUAAUCAAUGCUGUGUGUGCACUGUUGUUGAUGCAUACUAUGUAAAAUAAUAAAAGCUAAUAACUUGUCA
Molecule: RNA transcript, 3350 nt
Organism: Fundulus heteroclitus (mummichog)
Lineage: Eukaryota; Metazoa; Chordata; Actinopteri; Cyprinodontiformes; Fundulidae
Gene: khdrbs1b
Gene name: KH domain containing, RNA binding, signal transduction associated 1b
Exons: 11
Source: RefSeq, a predicted model, not a curated record